This 429-nucleotide ribosomal RNA is filed under the name Triticum aestivum (bread wheat). RNAcentral describes it as "partial small subunit ribosomal RNA". Lineage: Eukaryota; Viridiplantae; Streptophyta; Magnoliopsida; Poales; Poaceae. The record is from RNAcentral.
AUGGCGCGCGGCGGCGGCGGCGGAGUCGAGUUUCGGCCGCCUCCUGAGAUGGCGAUGGAAGAGAUGGAUCGGCAGCCUGUUGUUGUUUCCGAAGCAAGAAUCCUGAGGAUGGAGAUUGCGUCCCUGGUGAACUUGCUCAUCGAGAAACAAUCUGACGUUCUUUCCUACGAUCCCGAGAUCGUGAGGAAGAUCACGUCCCUGAGGAGCGAGAUCGCGUGCCAGAAGCUGGCGAGGGAGCGCAAACCCUUGGUUACGGAGGUCAAACGCACAGUGCCGCGGAGGCGCAAAAAGUUUUAUGCAGUGCAGAGGGUCGCUGAGAAGGAGAUCAUGGCCGAUCAGGAGAGCGUGGAUCUGCCUAACUCCGAUACGCAUAGUGUGACCUCCCAAGUCAGUUGCAUCUCCGAGCAGUUGCCCGAGCCCUGCGACUAG